GUUGGUCACAUACAAUUUAUGUGCGUGUGUGCGACAAGCUCACUUGACUGAACAGAGCUUGUUGCGGCUUUUAGUUCAAAUCGAAAUUUUCAUUGUGAAUGUUUGACAUGCAUUAACCGGUUCGAAUAUUUGAAAUUUAAUUUUACCGUCGGCUGUUAAUUCAAAUAAAAAGACUACAAACAGAAAAGAAAAAUCUCAAGAACAUAUUCAAUAGAAAAAUAAUAAAAAAAAACUUAUUAGAAGCUUUGGGUGCCAAUCAAUAAAAUAACCUUAAAACGUACGUGUUGUGCAGUGAUACAUGAUUUUCCAUAACUUUCAGACAUUGAAAUUGCAAAUGAAAAAAAAAAAAAAAAAAAAGUUGAAAUGGUUUUGGCUAUCAAAACCUAAAGCGGAUCCUCAAUUCAAUGAUUCUUUUAAUUAAGGGCACCAAUAUUUUGAGGGAUUUUGUAAUGAAAUGUAUAUAUAUUUAUUGCAAUUAAAUUGAAACUGAUUAACACCACGGAAAUUUCAAAUCGGAGGUGAUUGUAAAAGAAACAAAAUUGUAAUAGAAAUUAAAAAAAAUCUACAAAAGAGUUUGCGUCUUCCGUUACGGCGACGUUUUCUUCCUAUUCCAUAUUUCUGCAAUAAAAAUGGCUUUGCAACGAAAAACUCAAUGAUAAGUCUUGCUACCACACAAAACAAACGUACCUCAAUGGCAUCAUUCUUCCGCUUGUAACACGACUAAUCUUCCCAACAACAGAAAAUGCAUCGCUUUUGUACCUCCGAAUAUGCCGUAGGAAGUUUACACACCACCACUGGUCUAUAACUGAAUGCUGCCGUCUCAAAAUAGAUAUCUUGUUCUGUACCUGUUCUUCAAUGGAAGCCUUUUUUGCAAAUUGGUAUACCCGCAUUUUGGACUGUUCGAGAUUUGAGACUAAUGGGCAAAAAUAUACAGCCACAAAUAACAAUAACUGCACCUGAUGUCUCCUCAGCGACAAUGCAGCAUCGUCAAAGGAUUGAAGGCAGACUUAAAAUGCAACCGACGGGACAGCCCUGCAGAGGAUAAGAUAAUAACGCUGGUUUCUUUGGCGAUGAAGAUUAUAAGCGCAGUUCUCGCACCAAUUUAAAUUUAUGCGAGAGGAUUUGACCAUGAGUUCGGAUUGAAGGAAAGCUAUGUUGUGAGCAUAACGAAGAAAGAAGUCUCUCAAGGCAAUUGAUGGACAAGCCCGAAUAGUAAAAGCGUCGUAGAAGAUUUUGAACCCCUCAAGGAUAAAACACAAUACAAAGCAAAUGGAUUAUUAUUCAAUUCUGAAAUCGAAGAAGACAGCACACUGAUUUAUGUUAUCGAUGGAACAGGAAGUGUUGACGAAUGCUAUGAUUUCGAUUUCCAAAAUCCGUGUGGAUGUGCUGGUCCAAUAAAAGUUAUUCCCCAGCGGCAGUCCCAACGCUGUCAUCAUCAUGUUUAUUUAAAUGUUCAAUUUUUUACGAUUUGUAUUAUCGUUUUGUGCAUUAUUAAAAAACAUUUUUCAGUGUUUUUAAAGGAAGUAUAUUUAGGAAGUAUAAACGGCGAUUAAAGUUAACAUUUUCGUUUGGGAAUUUUUAUUGUAUAUGUUGUAAUACUUCCAAUAUUAAAAAACUCGUGGAUAUAUGCAUUAUAUAUGAUAGAUUGCACAAUGAAAGCAAAUGACAAACAAAUGCAAACAAAUUAUGAAACAUGAAGUGAUAAUAAAUAAUAUUUCUUCUUCUUUGUCGAUUUUAAGCAGCCGUUAAAUUGUUGGUUAUUUCCGUUGACGUGCUCUUGUAAAAACAUGUAAAAACGCUAAGUUCGGCAACUUCACCGUGUUGUUAGUAAAGCAUUUUUACAUAGAGGUUUCUGGGUUCAAUAUUCGAAUGUGUUCCAGUGAAAUCGGUCGGAGAAAGCGGAUAAAGUUUUCAAGGUACCAAAAAGUGGGUGGAAACAUUGUUUGGCCACUAAAGCAAAACGUAAACCUACUUAGACAAUAUUCUACUACAAGACUUGUUAUCAAAUGUGAAUCUUAAAAACCGAAUUUAAAACAAUUCAUAGAAGAUAGGUGGACAAUAUUGUCGAACCGGUUUUAAAUCUCAAUAUAAACUACAAUUACCGAAUUCGAAAAAAAUCCGAUAGAAAAUGUGGCCUGAAUCGUUAAAUUACCAAAUGUCGGAAGGUACUAUUAAAGGGUGUUUUUUAAGCCCGAUAAAACUUGAAAUUGUAAUAAAUAACACAAAUAAUUAAAUGUUAAUCAAUUUUUUUUUAUUCGAAAGAUCAAUACGUGACAUUAACGUUUGAAAAUGAUUUCAGGCAAAUGGGCACCGUGGCUGUUCCUGACGAAGUGCAUUCUGGGCGUCCAAUUUUUGGCCACAUUUUCGAGCACUGCUGGACGUAUGUCAUGAAUAAAACGAACAAUGCUGGCCUCCAAGGCGUCAAUUGUUGUUAAUUUAUUAGCAUAAACCAGUGACUUCACGUAGCCCCACAGGAAAUAAUCGAGAGCGGUCAAAUCGCACGACCUUGGAGGAAAAUUGACAGGUCCACUUCUUGAAAUCAACUUAUCGUCAAAUUUUGAUUUCAAUAAGUCGAUGGUUGCGUUCGCCGUAUGGCACGUAGCGCCAUCCUGUUGAAACCACAUCUCCUCCGGAUCAAUGUCAUCCAUAUUUUUAAACAAACAAUCAUUGAUCAUGGUGCGGUAACGAUCUCCAUUGACUUAACGCGAGCUCCGGCCUCAUUUUUUAAGAAAUAAGUCCGAUGAUGCCACCAGCGGUGCAUAUUCCUGGAUGUAAUGGAAUCUGUCGGAUCUCUUGUACAUUGGUCUCACUCCAUAAUUUUGCUUAUUAACAAACCCGUUUAGCCAAAAAUGCACCUCAUCGCUGAACACAAUUUUGCGAUAAAUCAACUAGUCAUUUGCCAACUGCUCUAGAGCCUGAUUUUCAAAGAAAAUUUGGAUAAUUUCGUAGCGUUGUUCAAGCGUGAGUCUAUUCAUGAUGAUUUGUCAGAGUAUACUGAAACAAAUAAAAAAAAGUUUCAUCAAAAUUUAAUUUUUUGUGUUAGUUUUUACAAUUUAAAGUUCUAUCUAGCUUUAAAAACACCCUUUAUAUGGAUGCUAUAGUAAAACGUUUACUUAUACAGACAAUGUUUGGCCGAAGACGGUAGAUCCCGUUACGAACUAUCAAUACCAAAUUUGUAAUAAUUCCGUCGACAAAUGUGGACAGCACACAUGUGGAUGCACAAUAUAAACUAUUGUGCCAAAUUUCAAAUGCCAAAUAAUGUAGACUGUAUCGUGUUCGACAGACAGACAUCGUUUAAUAAAUUCAGAAUUUUAUCUGAUCAUGAAUAUACCUUUUGGAGUAUUUUUGAUACAAGUAACUACUUUAAAAUCAUCAUACCAAUCCAAGUGUUUGCCCCACGAAAUUAAAAUUUAUUUUAAGGUUCUAAAUGUUAACAAAUAAGUUUAAAAUACAUUCCUAUUUUUAGAACGGUUUUACUUUUAUAUGAAGUUUUAUGUAUUCCUACAUUUUCAUUUUGCAAUGUCUAUUUUGCUUCGUUUACAAACGCACUCUCUUUG
This is a long non-coding RNA of Musca domestica (house fly), 3557 nucleotides long. RefSeq lists it as uncharacterized. Lineage: Eukaryota; Metazoa; Arthropoda; Insecta; Diptera; Muscidae. The transcript has 3 exons. The record is from RefSeq and is a predicted model, not a curated record.